Molecule: ribosomal RNA, 432 nt
Filed under: Toxocara cati (cat roundworm)
Lineage: Eukaryota; Metazoa; Nematoda; Chromadorea; Rhabditida; Toxocaridae
Description: partial 12S ribosomal RNA
Source: RNAcentral
UUGUUCUCGAAAGGAGGUAAAACCUGGGCAGAUGAUAAUUACUUUUAACUUUAGGGUAAAAUUAGAAGUUGUUGAUAGUUGGGCCUUGUGUUUUUAGAUUUGUUGAACGAGCCAGAUUAGUACCUGGUUAGACAAAAGUUAAAAGAGCAGGAGUAAAGUUAUGUUUAAACUGUAAGAAUAUUGGCAGGUCUUUAAAUUAUCUUUGGAGGCUGAGUAGUAAUUGAGAGCCCUCAUUAUCAACCUAUACUAUAGGCUCAUGUAUGAUCGUUUAUUUUAUCCUUAGGGGUUGUAAUAUUAGUUUAAUUGCUAUAAAAAUAGAUAUAUACUUGGUUGAUGUAUAGGAUUUAAUUUGGCCUACAAUAAUUUAUAAUAUGGAUAUUAACUGUAGAGGUUGUUUGAAAUUGUAAAAGACAGUAAGUUUCUUUUUAUGGA